RNAcentral lists this long non-coding RNA (772 nucleotides) under Pan troglodytes (chimpanzee). RNAcentral describes it as "long non-coding RNA NONPTRT013250". The record is from RNAcentral. Lineage: Eukaryota; Metazoa; Chordata; Mammalia; Primates; Hominidae.
GAAUCCCAGGCUUGAACCAGGGAGGUGGAGGUUGCAGUGAGCCAAGAUUGCACCUCUGCACUUCAGCCUGGGUGACAGAGUGAGACCCUGUCUCAAGAAAAAAAAAAAAAAAAAACCGCAAAAAACUGAUGAGUAAUGCAAAGGAAGCAGGUGACUGAUUUUUUUUUUUCCUUUUCAUUUUUGGAAUUUUUAACAGGUUAGAUUGGAUCACAAUGGAAAAUUUUUGAAUGCAGAUGUUCAAGGAGUUCAUUCUGAGAAUGGACCAGUUUUGGUUGAAGAACUGGGAAAGAAGCACACAUCAAAGAACCUCAAGGCACCUCCCCCAGAAAGCUGGAACACAGUGUCAGGGAAGAAGAUGAAAAAACCUUCCACUUCUGGACAAAAUUUCCAUUCUGAUGUGGAUUACAGAGGGCCAAAGAAUCCAAGCAAGCCAAUAAAAGCCCCAUCAGCACUACCUCCUCGACUGCAGCAUCCUUCAGGAGUAAGACAACAUGCGUUCUCUAGUCAUUCUUCAGGGUCACAGUCUCAGAAAUUCUCCAGUGAGCACAAAAAUCUUAGCCGGACACCUUCACAGAUCAUAAGAGAAAACCUGAUCGUGAAAGAGUUGAGGAUUUUGAUCACACAAGUCGAGAAUCUAACUAUUUCGGCCUUUCCCCAGAAGAGCGCAGAGAGAAGCAAGCUAUAGAAGAAUCCCGUUUACUCUAUGAGAUUCAGAACAGAGAUGAACAGGCUUUCCCAGCCCUUUCCGUAUGUAUGAAAAGACAGUUUAAAA